RNAcentral lists this ribosomal RNA (1077 nucleotides) under uncultured Bacteroidota bacterium. Its description in RNAcentral is "bacterial SSU rRNA". It matches the Rfam family "Bacterial small subunit ribosomal RNA", at positions 308 to 1428 of the family's 1533-position model. The record is from RNAcentral. Lineage: Bacteria; Pseudomonadati; Bacteroidota.
ACUCAAAUGGACUGAGACCGGCCAGACUCUACGGAGCAGCAGGAGGAUCUGCGCAUGAUGAGAGUCGAGCAGCAGCCGCGGAGAGACGCCUACGGUGUAACUCUUUGCGGGAGAGCUGGUUCGAUCUGAGUGACGUACGUGAUAGCACGGCUAACUCCGUGCCAGCAGCGCGGUAAUACGGAGGGUGCAAGCGUGUCCGGAAUCAUUGGGUGUAAAGGGUGCGUAGGCGGGCGUCUGCGUCGGGGGUGAAAUCUCGCCGCUUAACGGUAAAAUGGCUUCGAUACGGGACGUCUUGAGUACAGAAGAGGCUGGUAGAAUUUGUGGUGUAGCGGUGAAAUGCAUAGAGAUCACACAGAAUACCGGUGGCGAAGGCGGCCAGCCAGUCUGUAACUGACGCUGAGGCACGAGAGCGUGGGGAGCGAACAGGAUUAGAUACCCUGGUAGUCCACGCUGUAAACGAUGUAUGCUAGAUGUUGGCCGAAGGGCCAGUGUUGUAGUUAACGCGCUAAGCAUACCACCUGGGGAGUACGUUCGCAAGAAUGAAACUCAAAGGAAUUGACGGGGGCCCGCACAAGCGGUGGAGCAUGUGGCUUAAUUCGAUGCAACGCGAAGAACCUUACCCGGGCUAAAUCCAGCCUGCCGGCUCCUGAAAGGGAGCGUUCCUGCUUUGCAGGACGGGCUGGAAGGUGCUGCAUGGCUGUCGUCAGCUCGUGCCGUGAGGUGUUGGGUUAAGUCCCGCAACGAGCGCAACCCCUGUGGUUAGUUACCAGCGCGUAAUGGCGGGGACUCUAGCCAGACUGCCUACGCAAGUAGUGAGGAAGGUGGGGACGACGUCAAGUCAUCAUGGCCCUUACGUCCGGGGCUGCACACGUGCUACAAUGGGCGCUACAAAGGGAAGCCACCUCGCGAGAGGGCGCAGAUCUUUAAAGGCGUCCCCAGUUCGGAUUGGAGUCUGCAACUCGACUCCAUGAAGAUGGAAUCGCUAGUAAUCGCGGAUCAGCAACGCCGCGGUGAAUACGUUCCCGGGCCUUGUACACACCGCCCGUCAAGCGAUGGAAGUCAGGAGUACCUGAUGUC